CCGUGAACCAUACGAGUUUUUUAAGCAAGUUGCGCCAGAGUUAUGUUGGCCAAGGGCACGCCUGCCUGGGCGUCACG
This 77-nucleotide ribosomal RNA is filed under the name Cyrtanthus attenuatus. RNAcentral's name for it is "partial 5.8S ribosomal RNA". Lineage: Eukaryota; Viridiplantae; Streptophyta; Magnoliopsida; Asparagales; Amaryllidaceae. The record is from RNAcentral.